GACGUAGGGCGCGAGCGUUGUCCGGAUUUACUGGGCGUAAAGCGCGUUCAGGCGGUUUGGCAAGUCGGGCAUGAAAUCUCUCGGCUCAACCGGGAGAGGUUGUCCGAUACUUCCAGACUUGAGGGCAGUAGAGGGUGGUGGAAUUCCGGGUGUAGUGGUGAAAUGCGUAGAUAUCCGGAGGAACACCAGUGGCGAAAGCGGCCACCUGGACUGCACCUGACGCUGACACGCGAAAAGCUAGGGGGAGCGAACGGGG
This 256-nucleotide ribosomal RNA is filed under the name uncultured bacterium. RNAcentral describes it as "partial 16S ribosomal RNA". It matches the Rfam family "Bacterial small subunit ribosomal RNA", at positions 524 to 777 of the family's 1533-position model. The record is from RNAcentral.